This 425-nucleotide ribosomal RNA is filed under the name uncultured bacterium. Its description in RNAcentral is "bacterial SSU rRNA". It matches the Rfam family "Bacterial small subunit ribosomal RNA", at positions 354 to 796 of the family's 1533-position model. The record is from RNAcentral.
GUGGGGAAUCUUGCGCAAUGGGCGAAAGCCUGACGCAGCCAUGCCGCGUGAAUGAUGAAGGUCUUAGGAUUGUAAAAUUCUUUCACCGGGGACGAUAAUGACGGUACCCGGAGAAGAAGCUCCGGCUAACUUCGUGCCAGCAGCCGCGGUAAUACGAAGGGGGCUAGCGUUGCUCGGAAUUACUGGGCGUAAAGGGCGCGUAGGCGGACAGUUUAGUCAGAGGUGAAAGCCCAGGGCUCAACCUUGGAAUUGCCUUUGAUACUGGCUGUCUUGAGUACGGGAGAGGUGAGUGGAACUCCGAGUGUAGAGGUGAAAUUCGUAGAUAUUCGGAAGAACACCAGUGGCGAAGGCGACUCACUGGCCCGUUACUGACGCUGAGGCGCGAAAGCGUGGGGAGCAAACAGGAUUAGAAACCCUUGUAGUCC